UUUUACUUUCCUCUUUCUUCACGCUUCACUUCACUUAAGAACUAGCUGCCCAGGUGAAAAUUGAAAGCUGAAGCACAAAAGCUUCGAUUCUCCAAUUCUCUUCUCAUAUUAUCUUCUCUGAUACCAAUUUGUGAGAAAAACACUCUGAAGAGUUGAAGUUAUAGAAGUACUUAGCUGAAGAGUUGAAUUCAUUGAAGAACUGAAAAGAAGAACACGAUUUUAGACAAAUGUUGUUGGAAUAGGGUUUAUCAGUUUUUCCAAGCUUGGUUCGAGUCCAAGAAUCUGCUCGGAAUUCUCAUCCGUAGAUCGUGUCGAGUCUCGUGGUGAAGAUCAUUUCUUUUCUCGGCCCUUCUAGUUCACUGCCCAAAGAAAGGUUUUGGUUAGAGGAAAAUAAUAUUAUGCAGACACCAAAAUCAAGGAAUUCAAAUGUCCUAUCCAAAGAUUGGAUAGAUUUAGCAAGGUAUCGCAAAGAGUAUAUUCAACAUUCUUCAGGAUAAAAUCAUGUUCUGAUUCUUGAAAAGGGAGAUGGAGCUGAUCAAAUUUGAAGGAUCCCCACAAGUUAAUUUGAUCUCAUUGAAGUGAAAGUGGAUGAUGAGUUUUUGAACUAUUCUAAAUGUUUGAAUACAUUAUCUUGAACUAUUGUAGGUUACAUUUUGUGCUAAUCACGUGUACACAUAUAUUAAGAAUAUUGACAUGUAUGUACACAAGACUAUCAUUUGAUGCUUAUUGCAAAUCUAUAUAUUUAAAUU
Molecule: long non-coding RNA, 749 nt
Organism: Solanum pennellii
Lineage: Eukaryota; Viridiplantae; Streptophyta; Magnoliopsida; Solanales; Solanaceae
Exons: 6
Source: RefSeq, a predicted model, not a curated record